AGCAGGACAGCCACUGAGAUGAUGGGAUCUGUGCUCUGGGACAAUGGGAUUUAGUCAAAAUAUGGGCUGGGAAAUGAGAAUACGACCCCCCCCCCCCUUCAGGGCCCUCUUAUUCCUAUUUUUUCAGGCAUUUUGUAUUUUUGUGGUACAAUAUCACUUGUUGAACUUAAAGAUACCAGCAAAAAGAAUGAAGUCUAAUAUUUCAAAAGUGACUCAACAAAAUUAAUUAUUCCAUUAUUUCCUACCUUUUACUGCAAAUAUUGUCAAAGACAUUUUUGUCAUUUAUCAUGUGAAAGUAGUGUAUCAUAUUUGCAAACUAUUUUACACCUUUGAUCAGUUGUGGAUCCAGCAAAGUUUUUUUUGGGGGGUGCUAACCAAUGGUGAAACCACUAGCCAAGCUCCCCCCCCCCCCGUCUCUGAAAUGGCAUUUCCAGCAUUCUGAGAAAACAUUCUAGAAAAUUUUUAGAUUCUCAAAACAAGAUUUCAAAU
Paramuricea clavata is the source of this 489-nucleotide non-coding RNA. The record is from the annotation of a GenBank genome assembly. Lineage: Eukaryota; Metazoa; Cnidaria; Anthozoa; Malacalcyonacea; Plexauridae.